This is an RNA transcript of Mangifera indica (mango), 2782 nucleotides long. RefSeq lists it as uncharacterized. The transcript is spliced from 5 exons. Lineage: Eukaryota; Viridiplantae; Streptophyta; Magnoliopsida; Sapindales; Anacardiaceae. The record is from RefSeq and is a predicted model, not a curated record.
CUCCCCUCCAGAACCAACUAAGCACAAGCCUACAAACAAUAAAUAAAUCUAUUCUUCUCUUUCUUUCUCUCUUUCCGUGUCUAUUAUAAAGUUUCCUACAGUUUGAUUCUCUCUCUCUCGUUCAUUUUGCUUAUUCUUUACGAGAAAUUAACCAGAUUGUUUUCUGAAUCAACGUUUUCAAGAGCAAUGCAUGUUGCUGAAGAAUUUGAUGGCAGACAAGCAACUGGAUUUUAAUCAACCAUUUCCAUCUGUGAGGCGGUUAUCAUCAACGGUGACCACCUCAGAAGCUGAGGUUAAAAGGAAAACAGUCAAUACUGUUCCCAAAAUACCUGCUCUCCCUGCUUACAAGUUAGAGUUGAAAUCAGGUCCAAUCAGGAACCCAGGAACUGUUCCUUUUGUGUGGGAGCAAAUGCCAGGAAGGCCUAAGAAUGAUAGCAAAUCACAAACUCAAUCUCCUGAGCAACCUCCCAUUGUUCCAAAGCUUCCACCUGGAAGGAUUUUGAAUGUUAAACAGCAGCCUUUGGGCAAAGCUCGUGAAGGUACUAACAGUAAAUGGUCCCAGACUGGAAAUGUUCGAACCAGUUCUAAAAGUGUUCCACCUGCUAGCAAAAAUGCAAUUAAAUGUGAGAGUUCUAAAGAGGAGAUCGGAGAGACAGAACGCUGUACCACAGAGGAUGGUGAUGAGGCUUUCGUGGAUGCACUCGAUACACUUUCCCUCACUGAAUCAUUCUUCUUGAACUGUAGCGUUAGUGGUGUGAGUGGGUUAGAUGAUGCAGAAAUGAAACCUACAGGAACAUUCACAACUGAUCCACAGACUCGGGAUUUCAUGAUGGGUCAAUUUUUGCCUGCAGCAAAGGCAAUUGCUUCAGAAAUACCACAUUAUACUGCUAGAAAGCAACCUGUCGUGUGUGAACACCCAAGGCAGAUAAAAAAGAUUGUCAAUAUUGAUAAAAGACAACCUCCCAAACAAUACAGUUCAGACAAUCUACAUUAUCAUGCUCGACAUGAGAGGUGGGAAGAAAGUGAGGAUGAAGAUGAUCAUGAUGUACCUGAAGGCUCGUCAGCUGCAAUUUGUGGGUUACUUCCUCGAUUUUGCUUGAAAAGUUCCUUUUGCCUUAUGAAUCCAGUGCCUGGGAUGAGGCUGCAGGAGCGGGAACCUAUUUCUUUGGGCCAUCAAAGAGCACAAGCUAGUUCUCGCCAUGGGACUGAGCAUGAGAAGGUGAGAGUUGUGGAAAAUGAGCAGAGUUUCUCAGUUGGAUCUCUAAGAGCAGAGACACAAGAAACUAAACUUAACCUGAAAACUAAGGCCAGCCAAGUAGCUUAUGGAGAUGAAGGUCACAAACUAGAUGAAUCAUCUCUGUACAGGCGUUUGCAGGCUAAGGUUGUACAACCUGACCAAAUUGCAAACUGCCAGUCUGCCGUAAGUAAUGAAAAAAGGUUUCUUGAGAUUCUUGAAAAUGCCAAGAACUUAAUGCUGAACAAUCCUGAUCCACAGAGACAAAGUAUCAAGAAUUUCAAAGAACUAUUGGUCACUGAGAGCACUAAUUGGGAAUCAGGCUUAAAAUGUCAUGUUGAGAAAACUUUGUACAUAGAUUCUGUACAUAAGGUGAAAUCUCCAAGUUCAAAUUCCAGUUCUUCACAUUCAAAGAGGCUAAUUGAUGGCAGAGGAGACAAUUUAAAUGUUCCUGUAAGAGGUACCGAAACGGAAGAAGCAGCUUCUAUAGGUUCAUCCCUUCAUGAUGUCAAGCAGUUGCAUACUGUGGAUGAGAGGACAAUAUUGGAACCUAAAAUUAUGGAGUUUAUUCAUUGCAAAAAUCUAUCUUCUCUUGACACAGCUGCACUGGGUUUGCAAAUUGAUGUAAAAGAUAGUUCCACUGAGGAUCAAGUUCUCUAUAACAAUUUGAUUAAUCUGACCAGCACAAAAGUGACUGGAAGUGAGAAGUUUGAUCUGGCUCUACAAAAUGAACAGCAAGGGAAAUUAAGCAAUCAAGAUUCUCAUGGAGUUGUCCAAGAUUCUACUUUAUCAACUAGGCAAAAAAUGGAUGAUGAUGGAAAAAAUGACACUCAAAGUCGAACAUUAAGUACCGAGGAAGCAUCUCACGGCCUCUAUUUACAACUUCCUCUUCCCUUGCCUCCACCUAAAUCUCCAUCUGACUCUUGGCUGAAGCAUACGUUGCCUACUGUAUCCGCAAGGAAAUCAUCUAGUUUUUCUUUGCUUGGUACACUUAAUUGUACAAGAGUUCAAGGUUCCAAGUCUCCCUCGGUUGAUCCCAAGUGGGAAACUAUUGUCAAAACCUCUAAUGUACACCGUGGACAUUUAUGUUUCUCUGAGGAAUUGCUUACACCUAUUCCAGAAGCAUAGAACAAUAGAAGCCUUAAGCCUACGGAAUUGUGUAUACGCUUGGUUGUGAAGUCCAUAAUUUAAGUGGCUUCAAAGGUCCUCAAUACACUUUAUCAUCUCCUCGAAAAAUUGUCUCCUCAAAGUCCAAGAUGCUCCUUCCUAUACUCAGUAUACAACGGGAAGCAGAAGUUCAUGUGUAAGUUAUCUUCUACAUGUCAAUAAGCAUUUUGGAUAUUUUAUUGGGAAGUGCUUUGUUGUUGUCUCUACUGGCAAAGGUGAGAGAUCGACACAUGAGAAGUUUGUGACCUUGUAACAGUAUUUUGCUAGAAGGGGACUUGAGUUUGUAAUAAUGUCAUCAGGGUAGUAUUGCCCAUUUAAUAGAUAAAGGUGCUGAUGAUAUUAGUCAGAGCUUCAAUGACAUCAUUCAACCGAUUCUUAUCA